This 740-nucleotide ribosomal RNA is filed under the name uncultured archaeon. RNAcentral's name for it is "bacterial SSU rRNA". It matches the Rfam family "Archaeal small subunit ribosomal RNA", at positions 1 to 750 of the family's 1478-position model. The record is from RNAcentral.
UUCCGGUUGAUCCUGCCGGACCCGACUGCUAUCAGAGUGAGAUUAAGCCAUGCGAGUUAACGUAGCAAUACGUGGCGCACGGCUCAGUAACACGUAGUCAACAUGCCCAGAGGACGUGGAUAACCUCGGGAAACUGAGUCUAAACCGCGAUAAGUGAGGAUUUCUGGAAUGGUUCCUGACUAAAAUCUAUAUGGCCUCUGGAUUGGACUGCGGCCGAUCAGGCUGUUGGUGAGGUAAUGGACCACCAAACCUGUAACCGGUACGGGCUCUGAGAGGAGGAGCCCGGAGAUGGGCACUGAGACAAGGGCCCAGGCCCUAUGGGGCGCAGCAGGCGCGAAACCUCUGCAAUAGGCGAAAGCCUGACAGGGUUACUCUGAGUGACUUUCGCUAAGAAAGUCUUUUGGCACCUCUAAAAAGGGUGCAGAAUAAGGGGUGGGCAAGUCUGGUGUCAGCCGCCGCGGUAAUACCAGCACCCCGAGUGGUCGGGACGAUUAUUGGGCCUAAAGCAUCCGUAGCCGGUUCUGCAAGUCCCCCGUUAAAUCCAGCUGCUCAACAGAUGGGCCGCGGAGGAUACUACAGAGCUAGGAGGCAGGAGAGGCAAGCGGUACUCAGUGGGUAGGGGUAAAAUCCGUUGAUCCAUUGAAGACCACCAGUGGCGAAGGCGGCUUGCCAGAAUGCGCUCGACGGUGAGGGAUGAAAGCUGGGGGAGCAAACCGGAUUAGAUACCCGGGUAGUCCCAG